This 457-nucleotide ribosomal RNA is filed under the name Gemella haemolysans. RNAcentral describes it as "bacterial SSU rRNA". It matches the Rfam family "Bacterial small subunit ribosomal RNA", at positions 28 to 472 of the family's 1533-position model. Lineage: Bacteria; Bacillati; Bacillota; Bacilli; Caryophanales; Gemellaceae. The record is from RNAcentral.
GACGAACGCUGGCGGCGUGCCUAAUACAUGCAAGUCGAGCGAAGUUUUUCUGGUGCUUGCACUAGAAAAACUUAGCGGCGAACGGGUGAGUAACACGUAAAGAACCUGCCUCAUAGACUGGGACAACUAUUGGAAACGAUAGCUAAUACCGGAUAACAGCAUUAACUGCAUGGUUGAUGUUUAAAAGUUGGUUUUGCUAACACUAUGAGAUGGCUUUGCGGUGCAUUAGCUAGUUGGUGGGGUAAAGGCCUACCAAGGCGACGAUGCAUAGCCGACCUGAGAGGGUGAUCGGCCACACUGGGACUGAGACACGGCCCAGACUCCUACGGGAGGCAGCAGUAGGGAAUCUUCCGCAAUGGGCGAAAGCCUGACGGAGCAACGCCGCGUGAGUGAAGAAGGAUUUCGGUUCGUAAAGCUCUGUUGUUAGGGAAGAAUGAUUGUGUAGUAACUAUGCACA